Molecule: transfer RNA, 56 nt
Filed under: Tityus serrulatus (Brazilian scorpion)
Lineage: Eukaryota; Metazoa; Arthropoda; Arachnida; Scorpiones; Buthidae
Description: tRNA-Leu
Source: RNAcentral
UCUCAUUAUAGCAAAAUUAUGCGUUGGAUUUAAGCUCCAUUAAUAGAAUCUCUUUU